RNAcentral lists this unclassified non-coding RNA (430 nucleotides) under soil metagenome. RNAcentral describes it as "partial contains 5.8S ribosomal RNA, internal transcribed spacer 2, and large subunit ribosomal RNA". The stretch from base 1 to 120 matches the Rfam family "5.8S ribosomal RNA", at positions 35 to 154 of the family's 154-position model. The record is from RNAcentral.
GAUGAAGAACGUAGCGAAAUGCGAUACGUAAUGUGAAUUGCAGAAUUCAGUGAAUCAUCGAAUCUUUGAACGCAUAUUGCGCUCUCUGGUAUUCCGGAGAGCGUGCUUGUUUGAGUAUCAGUAAACACCUCAACUCCCUUUUCUUUUUUGAAAUUGGAGCUGGACUUGAGUGAUCCCAACGCUUUCUUCCAAGAAAGUGGCGGGUUGCUUGAAAUGCAGGUGCAGCUGAACUUUUCUCUGAGCUAUAAGCAUAUCUAUUUAGUCUGCCUAAAAAACAGAUUAUUACCUUUGCUGCAGCUAACAUAAAGGAGACUAGUUCUUGUGCUGACUGAUGCAGGAUUCACAGAGACAGCUUCGGCUGACUUUGUAAACUCGAUCUCAAAUCAAGUAAGACUACCCGCUGAACUUAAGCAUAUCAAUAAGCGGAGGA